UGUCCGAGCGUUAUAAUGACCAACUCACCAUAAUGGUGGUCUUGGGGCUGGCCGUUAGGCCCUCCCUUAAAACUAGUGGCGGUGCCGUCGAGCUCUUAGCGUAGUAAUUUUCUCGCUAUAGGGCCUCGGUGGUUACUUGCCAGAACCCCAAAUUUUACAAGGUUAACCUCGGAUCAGGUAGGGAUACCCGCUGAACUUAA
This 200-nucleotide unclassified non-coding RNA is filed under the name soil metagenome. RNAcentral describes it as "partial contains internal transcribed spacer 2 and large subunit ribosomal RNA". The record is from RNAcentral.